Long non-coding RNA from Drosophila rhopaloa, 254 nucleotides. RefSeq lists it as uncharacterized. The transcript is spliced from 2 exons. NCBI's taxonomy places the organism in Eukaryota, Metazoa, Arthropoda, Insecta, Diptera, Drosophilidae. The record is from RefSeq and is a predicted model, not a curated record.
AUGUCGCCAAGCUGCUGCACCACCGCACUGAAGUCGCCCCAGAAGAGAAGUGGCCGGAGGAGGAGUCGCCAACGUCCUGCCGCAUACCUCCUGGGGCACAGGUACCGCAGAUCCCUUGGCUGCUGGUCCACUGGCCACUGGUCACUGGACACUAAACACUGGACUCUGGACUCUCUGUGCUCCCAAUCCAUGUCAAUUACCUUGCGAAAGUCGUCGCUGCGGAUAUGAAGCAAUAAUAAAACCAUAAAAACGAA